UACGUAUGGAGCAAGCGUUAUCCGGAUUUACUGGGUGUAAAGGGAGCGUAGGCGGUGCUAUAAGUCUGAUGUGAAAGCCCGGGGCUCAACCGCGGGACUGCAUUGGAAACUGUAGGACUGGAGUGUCGGAGGGGUAAGUGGAAUUCCUAGUGUAGCGGUGAAAUGCGUAGAUAUUAGGAGGAACACCGGUGGCGAAGGCGGUCUGCUGGACAGCAACUGACGGUGAGGCGCGAAAGCGUGGGGAGCAAACAGG
Molecule: ribosomal RNA, 253 nt
Filed under: uncultured bacterium
Lineage: Bacteria
Description: partial 16S ribosomal RNA
Rfam family: Bacterial small subunit ribosomal RNA
Source: RNAcentral